GAUGAACGCUAGCUACAGGCUUAACACAUGCAAGUCGAGGGACCGGCGCACGGGUGAGUAACACGUAUCCAACCUGCCUUUUACUCGGGGAUAGCCUUUCGAAAGAAAGAUUAAUACCCGAUAUAAAGGAUGGGGAGGCGUUCCAUUAGGUUGUUGGUGAGGUAACGGCCCACCAAGCCUUCGAUGGAUAGGGGUUCGGAGAGGAAGGUCCACCACAAUGGAACUGAGACCCGGUCCAAAAUGCUAGGGGAGGCAGGAGUGAGGAAUAUUGGUGAAUGAGCGUUAGCGUGACCCAGCCAAGUAGCGUGAAGGAUGAAGGGGUAGGGGUCGUAAACUUCUUUGAUAGAAGAAUAGGUAUUAUAUGAAUAAGGAUCGGCUAACUCCGUGCCAGCAGCCGCGGUAAUAC
Molecule: ribosomal RNA, 406 nt
Filed under: uncultured bacterium
Lineage: Bacteria
Description: partial 16S ribosomal RNA
Rfam family: Bacterial small subunit ribosomal RNA
Source: RNAcentral